Molecule: long non-coding RNA, 704 nt
Organism: Mauremys reevesii (Reeves's turtle)
Lineage: Eukaryota; Metazoa; Chordata; Testudines; Geoemydidae
Exons: 3
Source: RefSeq, a predicted model, not a curated record
UGCUGACAAAGCUCUCCAGGGGCUGGAGAUUUUACGGUGGGAACCUCUAUUACUUUUCACAAGAAAGGAAGUCGUGGGACAAGGCCGAGCGGUUCUGUGUGUCUCAGGACUCGCACCUGACCUCUGUCUCCUCCCAGGCAGAACAGGAGUUUCUCUCCAAUGAGACCAAGGGACAAGAUCACUGGAUUGGACUCACCGACCUGGGGACAGAGGGCAGCUGGCGCUGGGUGGACGGCACAGAAUACAGAGCAGACACAAGCAGGGGGUUCUGGGAGGAGAAUCAGCCAGACAACUGGCAUCAGAGGACAGGAGGCAGAGAAGACUGUGUUGAGAUCCGCCCAAGGAAGCUGAAUAGGUGGAAUGAUGCCAACUGCACUCUGCCUUCUAAGUGGAUUUGUAAGCAGGCCCAUGGACCAGCUGGGCUGUGACAUGCAGGUCCCAGCACCUCAGAAAGCGCCUUAAUUUCCAAGCUAUGCAGCAUGUUUUCCAGCCACCUGCCGAUGAGGAGCCCUGUACACUGGAGGGGGCCACAUGGGAUGUGCAUUGCAGGGACGCUUUAUCUUGGUGUGAUAUUUCUGGCUGUAGCAGAGAGAGCUGCCCUUAUGCCGCUCAGUGUGACUGGCUCUGUAAUUUGUAUGUUUCCAGGUCUAUCACUGGAUCGUGGAGUUAUUGUUUCAUAUUCACCCAAUAAAUGAUUUGCUUGA